RNAcentral lists this ribosomal RNA (447 nucleotides) under uncultured bacterium. RNAcentral's name for it is "bacterial SSU rRNA". It matches the Rfam family "Bacterial small subunit ribosomal RNA", at positions 330 to 793 of the family's 1533-position model. The record is from RNAcentral.
UCCAGACUCCUACGGGAGGCAGCAGUGGGGGAUAUUGCACAAUGGGGGGAACCCUGAUGCAGCGACGCCGCGUGGGUGAAGGAGCGUUUCGGCGCGUAAAGCCCUAUCGGCAGGGAAGAAGGAGGACGGUACCUGACUAAGAAGCCCCGGCUAACUACGUGCCAGCAGCCGCGGUAAUACGUAGGGGGCAAGCGUUAUCCGGAUUUACUGGGUGUAAAGGGGGCGCAGACGGCAGCGCAAGCCAGGAGUGAAAGCCCGGGGCCCAACCCCGGGACUGCUCUUGGAACUGCGCGGCUGGAGUGCAGGAGGGGCAGGCGGAAUUCCUGGUGUAGCGGCGAAAUGCGUAGAUAUCAGGAGGAACACCGGUGGCGAAGGCGGCCUGCUGGACUGCGACUGACGUUGAGGCCCGAAAGCGUGGGGAGCAAACAGGAUUAGAUACCCCCGUAC